GUGAACGCUGGCGGUAGGCCUAACACCUGCAAGUCGCACGGCAGCACAGUAAGAGCUUGCUCUUACGGGUGGCGAGUGGCGGACGGGUGAGGAAUACAUCGGAAUCUACUUUUUCGUGGGGGAUAAUGUAGGGAAACUUACGCUAGUACCGCAUACGACCUACGGGUGAAAGCAGGGGAUCUUCGGACCUUGCGCGAUUGAAUGAGCCGAUGUCGGAUUAGCUAGUUGGCGGGGUAAAGGCCCACCAAGGCGACGAUCCGUAGCUGGUCUGAGAGGAUGAUCAGCCACACUGGAACUGAGACACGGUCCAGACUCCUACGGGAGGCAGCAGUGGGGAAUAUUGGACAAUGGGCGCAAGCCUGAUCCAGCCAUACCGCGUGGGUGAAGAAGGCCUUCGGGUUGUAAAGCCCUUUUGUUGGGAAAGAAAAGCAGCAGGUUAAUACCCCGCUGUUCUGACGGUACCCAAAGAAUAAGCACCGGCUAACUUCGUG
RNAcentral lists this ribosomal RNA (491 nucleotides) under uncultured bacterium. Its description in RNAcentral is "partial 16S ribosomal RNA". It matches the Rfam family "Bacterial small subunit ribosomal RNA", at positions 29 to 507 of the family's 1533-position model. The record is from RNAcentral.